Molecule: long non-coding RNA, 1806 nt
Filed under: Volvox carteri
Lineage: Eukaryota; Viridiplantae; Chlorophyta; Chlorophyceae; Chlamydomonadales; Volvocaceae
Description: long non-coding RNA (VCAR_LNC002932)
Source: RNAcentral
UCACUUCCUGCGGAACAGCGUCAGGUGUGGCGUGUGGAGAGAGAUGAGCCGGGAAGAGUUAGAUUUGGAAUGGGCUGGGCGCAGACUUACUUACCGAUAGCACGCCAAUCCCGGCACACCUGCAGCCAUGCAAUAAAUAGCGUAAGUUAAAGGAGAAGAAUAUUGUUUGAAUUGGUGUGCUCAUGACACCAACACCAAUAAAGCAAGGAAGCGCUUCCGAGAACCAGGCUGAGCGAAACCCUUCGUCAUCACCUGGCAGGCCAUGCGCACAUCAUCGACUUCGAGAUAACCAAAAAUCGCAUGCCAAAGAGCUGGCAGGAGUUCCUUGGCUUGCUGCGCUUCCAACGAAUCACUUUGGCCGUAAGCGUGAUGCGAGGCCAUUUUGAAGGCUUCUAUGGCAGCCAACUGAUGGGAAAAGUUUAAUUUCAUUGCGUUAAACUCUGAUGUGUACCCGCACAGAAAAACGUACGGUGCAUAGUUGCCAGCCGCGAGGACAUUCUCCGGUGACUCGAUCGCUUUCGGCCCAAACAACUGCACAUCCCAGGUGCCUUGGAAGGUCCGUCAGGGUUUCGGCGUGAUGUGAGUGUGUCUCUCAGCCUCUUUUUAAGUUGUUGAGUUUUGCUAGUUUCCACCUUUGUUCAAGAACCUCGCCAGCCGUUGCUCUGACCGACACGGCCCCAUAGGCAAGUUUCGUAACCUGCCUUACCCUGCCCAACACAAACCCCAAUCAGCUUGCCAGCGUUCUGCACCAUCAGCGCUUGAUUGCGUUUUGUAUGCGUGUGCGUGUAGGCAACGCGCCCAGAAGCUUUCCAAAUCCCGCAACUCACGCCGCACAGUGUAAACGAGCCCCGCACUACGCGCCUUUUUUCCCUCUGCGUCACAUUCCACUCAGAUCAACCCGCGAAACUUGGAGCUCGUGCACACAAACGUGUGGUUGGGAGUUGGUAUUCACCGCCUGGCUGAGUUUAAAUGAUGGAGCGUUGUUUUAGGAAGGUAUGAGGAGACGAGGGUGAGGCAUGUACCGUUUCGCAACGGUGGUGAUUGGUGAUUGGUGAUAUAGUGCGAGGCCCUAUCAACUCAAAAAGGGAGAGAUAACAGUUGCCUUACAAGGUACCUGCCAGGACCUUUUAGCCUGAGCUCUAGCGACGCCAGCACUACUUUUGGGAUCGUUAGUACUAGUUUGGGAUCUGUACUAUAUAUUGGGAUCGUUGCAGGCUUGCGACCUUCCUGUCAGCAACACAGUUGACAAUAUGGAACAGGGUUGAAGAGUGUUGCCUGAAUUGAUAUCGAUUGGGUAAUACCAUGAGGGUCCCGCCUGUCCGGCCUAGAGGGGGCGUUUGCGGGUUAGAGCCCCACGAAGACGUUUGAGGUGCGUGUUCGCGCGUGUUGUAAUGUAAAGGAGGGGAUGCGGGGGACUGCUGGGCCGCAUGUAUGGGUUUGUGAAGGGUCGCAGGGGAACACAAACGCAGGCUGUGGGUUGUUAUGAAGUGUGGUGCUGACAGUUGGGCGCGCCUGAGGCAGACAUGAGACAGUGGUACUGCGGUGAAUACCGAGCACGGGUGGCAGGAGAUUUCGAUGCCCCUGGCUCAGCCAUCCUACCAUUUCGUCUGCGACUGGCGUGCUGCAAUGGAGAGGAUGAGGAUAGGACACCACCUUGUUGCCACCCCGACGACCCUGUGCAGCGGCCUCGGUAGGAUGUGGUCAUCCAGGGGGCCAUCUCCGCACUUUAACGGCUCUCCUCCAAUCUUUGCACGCGGUCGGCGAUUCCUUGCAAACCCUUGCGCUGCAAGGAUGGGAAUAUUGUGC